Non-coding RNA from Danio rerio (zebrafish), 83 nucleotides. RefSeq annotates it as microRNA 457a. Lineage: Eukaryota; Metazoa; Chordata; Actinopteri; Cypriniformes; Danionidae. The record is from RefSeq and is marked provisional.
UGCCUGACAGAAGCAGCACAUCAAUAUUGGCAGCUGCCCUCUCUCUGGGUUGCCAGUAUGGUUUGUGCUGCUCCCGUCAGACA